This 253-nucleotide ribosomal RNA is filed under the name uncultured bacterium. Its description in RNAcentral is "partial 16S ribosomal RNA". It matches the Rfam family "Bacterial small subunit ribosomal RNA", at positions 524 to 776 of the family's 1533-position model. The record is from RNAcentral.
UACGAAGGGGGCUAGCGUUGCUCGGAAUUACUGGGCGUAAAGCGCACGUAGGCGGAUUGUUAAGUCGGGGGUGAAAUCCUGGAGCUCAACUCCAGAACUGCCUUCGAUACUGGCGAUCUAGAGUCCGGGAGAGGUGAGUGGAACUGCGAGUGUAGAGGUGAAAUUCGUAGAUAUUCGCAAGAACACCAGUGGCGAAGGCGGCUCACUGGCCCAUUACUGACGCUGAGGCACGAAAGCGUGGGGAGCAAACAGG